CUGGUGGCGAGCGGCGGACGGGUGAGUAAUGCAUAUAAAUCUGCCCGGGAGUGGGGGAUAACCUGGGGAAACCCAGGCUAAUACCGCAUACGUCCUACGGGAGAAAGCAGGGGAUCUUCCGACCUUGCGCUAUCGAAUGAAUCUAUGUCUGAUUAGCUUGUUGGUGAGGUAAUGGCUCACCAAGGCAACCAUCCGUAGCUGGUCUGAAAGGAUGAUCAGCCACAUCGGGACUGAGACACGGCCCGAACUCCUACGGGAGGCAGCAGUGGGGAAUAUUGGACAAUGGGCGAAAGCCUGAUCCAGCCAUGCCGCGUGUGUGAAGAAGGCCUUCGGGUUGUAAAGCACUUUCAGUGGGGAAGAAAGCCUUGGGGCUAAUACCCUCGAGGAAGGACAUCACCCACAGAAGAAGCACCGGCUAACUCCGUGCCAGCAGCCGCGGUAAUACGGAGGGUGCGAGCGUUAAUCGGAAUUACUGGGCGUAAAGCGCGCGUAGGCGGUCUGAUAAGCCGGUUGUGAAAGCCCCGGGCUCAACCUGGGAACGGCAUCCGGAACUGUCAGGCUAGAGUGCAAGAGAGGAAGGUAUAAUUCCCGGUGUAGCGGUGAAAUGCGUAGAGAUCGGGAGGAAUACCAGUGGCGAAGGCGGCCUUCUGGACUGACACUGACGCUGACGUGCGAAAGCGUGGGUAGCAAACAGGAUUAGAUACCCUGGUAGUCCACGCCGUAAACGAUGUCGACUAGCCGUUGGGCUCCUUGAGAGCUUUGUGGCGCAGUUAACGCGAUAAGUCGACCGCCUGGGGAGU
RNAcentral lists this ribosomal RNA (800 nucleotides) under uncultured bacterium. RNAcentral's name for it is "bacterial SSU rRNA". It matches the Rfam family "Bacterial small subunit ribosomal RNA", at positions 85 to 881 of the family's 1533-position model. The record is from RNAcentral.